This 254-nucleotide ribosomal RNA is filed under the name uncultured bacterium. Its description in RNAcentral is "partial 16S ribosomal RNA". It matches the Rfam family "Bacterial small subunit ribosomal RNA", at positions 524 to 776 of the family's 1533-position model. The record is from RNAcentral.
UACGUAGGGUGCAAGCGUUAAUCGGAAUUACUGGGCGUAAAGCGUGCGCAGGCGGCUAUGCAAGACAGAUGUGAAAUCCCCGGGCUCAACCUGGGGAACUGCAUUUGUGACUGCAUGGCUAGAGUACGGUAGAGGGGGAUGGAAUUCCGCGUGUAACAGUGAAAUGCGUAGAUAUGCGGAGGAACACCGAUGGCGAAGGCAAUCCCCUGGACCUGUACUGACGCUCAUGCACGAAAGCGUGGGGAGCAAACAGG